Molecule: ribosomal RNA, 576 nt
Filed under: Colletotrichum sp.
Lineage: Eukaryota; Fungi; Ascomycota; Sordariomycetes; Glomerellales; Glomerellaceae
Description: eukaryotic LSU rRNA
Rfam family: 5.8S ribosomal RNA (bases 224-377)
Source: RNAcentral
UCUCCGUUGGUGAACCAGCGGAGGGAUCAUUACUGAGUUACCGCUCUAUAACCCUUUGUGAACAUACCUACAACUGUUGCUUCGGCGGGUAGGCCGUCCCCUGAAAAGGACGCCUCCCGGCCCGGACCGGACCCCCCGCGGGACCGGACCCGGCGCCCGCCGGAGGAUAACCAAACUCUAUUGUAACGACGUUUCUUCUGAGUGGCAUAAGCAAAAUAAUCAAAACUUUUAACAACGGAUCUCUUGGUUCUGGCAUCGAUGAAGAACGCAGCGAAAUGCGAUAAGUAAUGUGAAUUGCAGAAUUCAGUGAAUCAUCGAAUCUUUGAACGCACAUUGCGCCCGCCAGCAUUCUGGCGGGCAUGCCUGUUCGAGCGUCAUUUCAACCCUCAAGCUCUGCUUGGUGUUGGGGCUCUACGGUCGACGUAGGCCCUCAAAGGUAGUGGCGGACCCUCCCGGAGCCUCCUUUGCGUAGUAACAUUUCGUCUCGCACUGGGAUCCGGAGGGACUCUUGCCGUAAAACCCCCCAAUUUUCCAAAGGUUGACCUCGGAUCAGGUAGGAAUACCCGCUGAACUUAA